UACAGAGGGGGCAAGCGUUAUUCGGAAUUAUUGGGCGUAAAGGGCGCGUAGGCGGCUUUGCAAGCGACGGGUGAAAUCCCUCGGCUUAACCGAGGAACUGCCUGUCGAACUGCUUUGCUUGAGGCCGGGAGAGGUGAGUGGAAUUCCCAGUGUAGCGGUGAAAUGCGUAGAUAUUGGGAGGAACACCAGUGGCGAAGGCGGCUCACUGGACCGGUUCUGACGCUGAGGCGCGAAAGCGUGGGUAGCAAACAGG
This 253-nucleotide ribosomal RNA is filed under the name uncultured bacterium. Its description in RNAcentral is "partial 16S ribosomal RNA". It matches the Rfam family "Bacterial small subunit ribosomal RNA", at positions 524 to 776 of the family's 1533-position model. The record is from RNAcentral.